This 115-nucleotide non-coding RNA is filed under the name Allomesorhizobium alhagi. RNAcentral's name for it is "Mesorhizobium alhagi TPP sequence". It matches the Rfam family "TPP riboswitch aptamer (THI element)". From Rfam's summary of the family: Vitamin B(1) in its active form thiamin pyrophosphate (TPP) is an essential coenzyme that is synthesised by coupling of pyrimidine and thiazole moieties in bacteria. The previously detected thiamin-regulatory element, thi box was extended, resulting in a new, highly conserved RNA secondary structure, the THI element, which is widely distributed in eubacteria and also occurs in some archaea. Lineage: Bacteria; Pseudomonadati; Pseudomonadota; Alphaproteobacteria; Hyphomicrobiales; Phyllobacteriaceae. RNAcentral also lists the same sequence under 1 other name. The record is from RNAcentral.
AAUGCUCUAACGGGGUGCCGGAUGCGACGUUUCGCAUACCGGCUGAGAGGCAGAUCGCCAACCCGCAGAACCUGAUCCGGUUUGCACCGGCGGAGGGAUUAGAUGCCUCGGACGC